This 468-nucleotide ribosomal RNA is filed under the name uncultured bacterium. RNAcentral's name for it is "partial 16S ribosomal RNA". It matches the Rfam family "Bacterial small subunit ribosomal RNA", at positions 28 to 507 of the family's 1533-position model. The record is from RNAcentral.
GACGAACGCUGGCGGCGUGCUUAACACAUGCAAGUCGAACGGAAAGGCCCUGCUUUUGUGGGGUGCUCGAGUGGCGAACGGGUGAGUAACACGUGAGUAACCUGCCCUUGACUUUGGGAUAACUUCAGGAAACUGGGGCUAAUACCGGAUAGGAGCUCCUGCUGCAUGGUGGGGGUUGGAAAGUUUCGGCGGCUGGGGAUGGACUCGCGGCUUAUCAGCUUGUUGGUGGGGUAGUGGCUUACCAAGGCUUUGACGGGUAGCCGGCCUGAGAGGGUGACCGGCCACAUUGGGACUGAGAUACGGCCCAGACUCCUACGGGAGGCAGCAGUGGGGAAUAUUGCACAAUGGGCGGAAGCCUGAUGCAGCAACGCCGCGUGCGGGAUGACGGCCUUCGGGUUGUAAACCGCUUUCGCAUGUGACGAAGCGUGAGUGACGGUAAUGGGUAAAGAAGCACCGGCUAACUACGUG